UGGGGAAUAUUGCACAAUGGGCGCAAGCCUGAUGCAGCCAUGCCGCGUGUGUGAAGAAGGCCUCGGGUUGUAAAGCACUUUCAGCGAGGAGGAAGGUGGGUGGACUUAAUACGUUCAUCAAUUGACGUUACUCGCAGAAGAAGCACCGGCUAACUCCGUGCCAGCAGCCGCGGUAAUACGGAGGGUGCAAGCGUUAAUCGGAAUUACUGGGCGUAAAGCGCACGCAGGCGGUUUGUUAAGUCAGAUGUGAAAUCCCCGGGCUCAACCUGGGAACUGCAUUUGAAACUGGCAAGCUAGAGUCUCGUAGAGGGGGGUAGAAUUCCAGGUGUAGCGGUGAAAUGCGUAGAGAUCUGGAGGAAUACCGGUGGCGAAGGCGGCCCCCUGGACGAAGACUGACGCUCAGGUGCGAAAGCGU
This 415-nucleotide ribosomal RNA is filed under the name uncultured bacterium. Its description in RNAcentral is "partial 16S ribosomal RNA". It matches the Rfam family "Bacterial small subunit ribosomal RNA", at positions 355 to 762 of the family's 1533-position model. The record is from RNAcentral.